This 253-nucleotide ribosomal RNA is filed under the name uncultured bacterium. RNAcentral describes it as "partial 16S ribosomal RNA". It matches the Rfam family "Bacterial small subunit ribosomal RNA", at positions 524 to 776 of the family's 1533-position model. The record is from RNAcentral.
UACGUAGGGUGCGAGCGUUGUCCGGAAUUAUUGGGCGUAAAGGGCUCGUAGGCGGUUUGUCGCGUCGGGAGUGAAAACUCAGGGCUUAACCCUGAGCCUGCUUCCGAUACGGGCAGACUAGAGGUAUGCAGGGGAGAACGGAAUUCCUGGUGUAGCGGUGAAAUGCGCAGAUAUCAGGAGGAACACCGGUGGCGAAGGCGGUUCUCUGGGCAGUAACUGACGCUGAGGAGCGAAAGCGUGGGGAGCAAACAGG